This 492-nucleotide ribosomal RNA is filed under the name uncultured bacterium. Its description in RNAcentral is "partial 16S ribosomal RNA". It matches the Rfam family "Bacterial small subunit ribosomal RNA", at positions 30 to 507 of the family's 1533-position model. The record is from RNAcentral.
AUUGAACGCUGGCGGCAUGCUUUACACAUGCAAGUCGAACGGCAACGAGGAGAAGCUUGCUUCUCUGUCGGCGAGUGGCGAACGGGUGAGUAUAGCAUCGGAACGUGCCAAGUAGUGGGGGAUAACCAAACGAAAGUUUGGCUAAUACCGCGUAAGCUCUAAGGAGGAAAGUAGGGGACCUAAUAAGGCCUUACGCUAUUUGAUCGGCCGAUGUCGGAUUAGCUAGUUGGUGGGGUAAUGGCUCACCAAGGCAAUGAUCCGUAGCGGGUCUGAGAGGACGAUCCGCCACACUGGGACUGAGACACGGCCCAGACUCCUACGGGAGGCCGCAGUUGGGAAUUUUGGACAAUGGGGGAAACCCUGAUCCAGCCAUGCCGCGUGUAUGAAGAAGGCCUUAGGGUUGUAAAGUUCUUUUGUUAGGGAAGAAAAGCUAGUUUUUAAUAAAAAUUAGUGAUGACGGUACCUAAAGAAUAAGCACCGGCUAACUACGUG